CGCUAAGCCAUAUAGAGCGCUGCUCCAAGCUCACAGCUGUGUCUUGUCUAUCUGUGGGAUGUGUGCUAGAGGAGUGCGAGAGGAGGGGUGUGUGUAAAUGGAAUGUGUCAGGGCUCUAAUUUGGUAUGGAGCUAUUUCACACUGGGCUGCAGCAUGCUGCAGACUGGUGAAUAACUACUGUGGUGGUGAGAUCAUACACUCUGACUGGAACAACUGAUCUAGGAUAAGUGAGCCCGGUGCAGACUGAUGUCUGCUCCAGCACUGUGAAAAGGACAACUGAACCUUUUCAGUCAGGAUCUACGCUCUCUACUCACAUCAUCACAUAGGUAAAGGAAUGGAAUGGACAGCAGACGGCAGAGAGUCCCUUGAGCUGAUGAGAGUGACACCAGCGCUUCCCCAGGGCUCCAGGGAUGCUGUCCCAGCACAUAGUAAAGAUGCCACAUUCCACACAGGAGAAUCAAUCUGAAGGUGGAAACUAAGGAGUUAGGCUGGCUGAAGUAAUGUAAUGCAUCCCAUAUGUAGGCAUUCCUGCACUGCCUGUAGUGUCUGUCAGCGUCUCAUAUUCUGGACCUUGAAGUUGAUUCCUCGGCAGCCAGUUGCAUCCUGGGAAGGCUGUUCCAUGGGUCCAGGCUGGGAGUGAAUCUCAAAUGUAUUUUCUUGAUUCCUUGUGUCCUUUCUCCUUGAUUCCUUCUCCAAGUUCAUUGGGGAACAAGGUCUAAGGGGAGGAAAAUUUGACCAUUUCUUCCAAUGUGUUUUGAGAAGGAGCGAGGAGAGAGGACAGGGGCAAUCAAGGAAAUACAAUUGAGAUUCACCCAGGGGCUCUCCUCCUGUCCUGCGUCGCCCUGCUCUCAUUGGCAGACCGAUCGUCAGCUCCAGCAGCUGCGUCUCUGUCUAUCUGUCGGCCUCACCCUCGGCCCCUCGGGACAUUUAGUUCUGCCUGCUCUGACUCUGGUCCCUGUCUCCCUGACUUCUCGUCAGUCCUGCUACUCUGCCCUGGAUUCCCCACUCUAUGCUCCCUUCAAUUCCCCUCCGGACCUGCUUACCCUGUCCCAACACCUCUCGCUCCAGCCUCAGCCUCCGCACCUGGUUUCCGGCAACCCGCCCGAGCUUCCCCUGGCCCGCACUCAAUCUUCCCCCCGUGCUUCAAUAAAUACCUUGGUUACCUCAUCCCAGUCUCCUCGUGUGAGUCUGCUCUUGGGUUCAGCUGUUCCGCUCCGUGUGACACUCCUAUAAGUGCAGAGGAGGCGGAGAGGGCCCUGUCUGAGCAUGUGUAUAUUAAGAUGUAUAUUAUGGGCAUGAUUAAAAUCGGUUUAUUUCUCAGAACAUUGUUUUACCGUCAUUCAUGCAGGGCUACAACUGCUUAUGUACACUUUGCAGAAAGCUAGUAAGGUAGGGAGGGCAGCAGAAAUGGACUGGCCAUUGGGCCGUUCGGGAAAAGGUCAGAUGGGCUGGUCCAUAUGUAGCUCAGUGGGCCUGUCUAAAUUGUUGUUUUGUGUGUGUAUCAGACCUGGGAUAACUACAGAUUUUAAUAUGCUUCGUGAG
Molecule: long non-coding RNA, 1542 nt
Filed under: Salmo salar (Atlantic salmon)
Lineage: Eukaryota; Metazoa; Chordata; Actinopteri; Salmoniformes; Salmonidae
Description: lncRNA (ENSSSAG00000121088.1)
Source: RNAcentral